This 490-nucleotide ribosomal RNA is filed under the name uncultured bacterium. RNAcentral describes it as "bacterial SSU rRNA". It matches the Rfam family "Bacterial small subunit ribosomal RNA", at positions 30 to 514 of the family's 1533-position model. The record is from RNAcentral.
AUUGAACGCUGGCGGCAUGCCUUACACAUGCAAGUCGAACGGCAGCACGGGAGCAAUCCUGGUGGCGAGUGGCGAACGGGUGAGUAAUGUAUCGGAACGUACCUUUCAGUGGGGGAUAACGUAGCGAAAGUUUACGCUAAUACCGCAUAUUCUGUGAGCAGGAAAGCAGGGGACCGUAAGGCCUCGCGCGAUUGGAGCGGCCGAUGUCGGAUUAGCUAGUUGGUGGGGUAAAGGCCUACCAAGGCGACGAUCCGUAGCGGGUCUGAGAGGAUGAUCCGCACACUGGGACUGAGACACGGCCCAGACUCCUACGGGAGGCAGCAGUGGGGAAUUUUGGACAAUGGGGGCAACCCUGAUCCAGCCAUGCCGCGUGAUAGAUGAAGGCCCUCUGGGUUGUAAAGUAUCUUUUAUCUGGGAAGAAACUCCGUCUAUUCUUAGAGGCCUGACGGUACCAGACGGGAAUAAGCACCGGCUAACUCCGUGCCAGCAG